UGAAAUGGACUUUUCAAGGGUCCUAAUUCAAAUCAUGUAGUAUUUAAGAUGUCAAUCCAUUUCUAAGUAUUUUGAUGCAAAGAGAAUGCAAGUUCAAACUUAAUCUAAGUGCAUUCAAUUCAAUGAAGUGGUUUGAUUAAACCAACAAGAUUCUGACACACCUAAAUAGCAACUUUCAAUCAAAUGGAUAAAAGAGGAAUCAUGGGCAUAUGAUUUUGAUUUCAGAUGACUAAGAUUUAAUCUAAAAUGGCAAGGUUUCAAUCAACACAUUCCCCUAAGUCUAGAUAGCAAUUCUAAGCAAGUUCUUUUCCAAGACAAAAGCUCAUUUACUCUCAUUGAUCAAACAUCAAAUUCCUUUGGUUUGUGUCAAUCAAGCAAUCAUUAAGAAAGAUCAUUCAACUUUCUAAACUCCCCUAACAUCAAAUUCCUUUGGUAGGGUAAGUUAAGAGCAUGUUGAGUUGGCUUAGACAUUUCAUCGAACACCUUCCGGGCAAUGAAAUGUCUAGAGUUCUAAUCUAAAAUGGCCACCUCUAGAUUAGCGUUAAGAUCACUCAAUCAAGCAAGGAAACAUAUUAAUCUACUCUAAAACAUUCUAGAUCAUCACUUAAUCAUCAUAAUCAUCCUGGCCCAUGAAUCCAAAGAUGACUACUCACUCAUUAUCAUGGUAG
Molecule: long non-coding RNA, 668 nt
Filed under: Brassica napus (rape)
Lineage: Eukaryota; Viridiplantae; Streptophyta; Magnoliopsida; Brassicales; Brassicaceae
Description: long non-coding RNA (BNAP_LNC009740)
Source: RNAcentral